UUGGAAUUGGUUAAGAUUGAUAAGUGCUUCAGCUAAGUUUCUUUGUCUGGUUUGAAAUAGCGUUGUUUGCUUGCUGAAAUGUGAAUAUUCAAUGUUUUGCACCCCUUCUUUGGUUGUUGUUCACGUGUUUGUGGUUCUUUAAAUGUUGAAUCCUUCCAAUCUUUUAGUUCAUCAUCUUGUUGUUCGUUUAAACGGUAUUCAUGAAGUCGAC
RNAcentral lists this long non-coding RNA (211 nucleotides) under Solanum tuberosum (potato). RNAcentral's name for it is "long non-coding RNA (STUB_LNC007026)". Lineage: Eukaryota; Viridiplantae; Streptophyta; Magnoliopsida; Solanales; Solanaceae. The record is from RNAcentral.